CUAGGUUUCUGUGCAUUUUUGCCAGGGAUCCUUGGAAGGCUCCCAGAGGCUGAGUGGGCUGGACUUUCCUCUGGACUAUUAACUUAGGAUAAAAAAUGGGACACACUCCCGGUAGGUUCAAGGUGUUCACUACAUACCUGGCAUAUUUUACCUCCCUAUUUAAUCUUUAAAAAAAACUCUAUAUUUUAAAAAUAUUUUUUAGUUGUCAAUGGACCUUUAGUUUAUUUAUUUACAUGCAGUGCUGAGAAUCGAACCCAGUGCCUUGCAUAUGCUAGGCAGGUGCUCUACCAUUGAGCCACCACCCCAGCCCCUCCAUAUUUAAUCUUAUAAGCACCCUUGCUAUGGCUUUUAUUAUAUCUACCAUUUUGUUGAUGAAAAGACACUGAGACCUAGAAAGGUUAAACAAUGAGCCCAGAGUCACAUGGUUGGUAGGACCUGUCUGAUUUCAAGGUCCUCUCCCUGCUCUUCCACCUCCUGAGUCUCCAUUCCUGGGACUGCUGAUUGGUUUGACAGGUGAGGUAAAACCCAGAUUCCAGGAAACUGGAGAGCACAGGUAGCAGCAGAGCCACGGCAGGGGCUGCAGAAUAGCUUGUGGUCCUCUGUGGCCUGAAGAGCCAGUUUUCUGGAAAGGGAGUCAGAGGCUAAGAUCCGGUGGGAGUUUUUGAGAGGCUGAGAAUUCCUUGACUUCUCCACCUACUUGAUAGCUACUGAAUGCUGGCUGCAACUAGGCUCUGUUCUGGGUCCUGGGGAUGCAGUUGGGAAUGAGAUGGACCAGAACUCUACCUACCUGAAGUUCACUUUACAGCAGAAGGGAAGACACGAAACCUAUAAGGGAAACCAUGAUAUAACUUCAGCUAGCGGGAAGAGCUAAAGGCCCAGCCUCCUGGUGGGGGAUUCCAGGCAGGUUCAAGGUUGGAUUGAUGACACAAUGCAUAGGUGAGAAGUCAUCUUCCAGGGCUCCCUGCGGGGCUAUGCUAUCUGACAGAGGCAGAGCUCCACCCAGGGUUAGAGCAGCAAGAGGUCUAGCCUGUUUGGAUUGGAUUCCCAGGACAGGGCCUGGGGACAGGAAACAGGUGGAUGGAGCAAAAAUAGAGCUG
This 1097-nucleotide long non-coding RNA is filed under the name Marmota monax (woodchuck). Lineage: Eukaryota; Metazoa; Chordata; Mammalia; Rodentia; Sciuridae. The record is from RNAcentral.